This 468-nucleotide ribosomal RNA is filed under the name uncultured bacterium. RNAcentral's name for it is "partial 16S ribosomal RNA". It matches the Rfam family "Bacterial small subunit ribosomal RNA", at positions 28 to 507 of the family's 1533-position model. The record is from RNAcentral.
GACGAACGCUGGCGGCGUGCUUAACACAUGCAAGUCGAACGGAAAGGCCCUGCUUGUGUGGUGUGCUCGAGUGGCGAACGCGUGAGUAACACGUGCGUAACCUACCCUUGUCUUUGGGCUACCUUCAGGAAACUGAGGCUAAUCCCGUAUAGGAGCCCCUGCUGCGUUGUGGGCGUUGGAAAGUUUCGGCUGUUGGGGUUGGACUCGCGGGUUAUCGGCUUGUUGGUGGGGUUGUGGCUUACCAAGGCUUUGACGGGUAGUCGGCCAGAGAGGGUAUCCGCUCACAUUGGGACAGAGGUACGGGCCAGAGUCCUAUGGGAGACAGAAGGCGGUAAUAUUUCACAGUGAGAGGAAGUCUGAUAAAGCAGCGCCGCGUGCGGAAUGACGUUCUUCGGGUUAGGAACAGCUGUCGCCUGAGACGCAGCGUGAGUGACGUUACCGGGAGAAGAAGCACCGGCUAACUACGUG